RNAcentral lists this long non-coding RNA (1221 nucleotides) under Equus asinus (donkey). RNAcentral's name for it is "lncRNA (ENSEASG00005033892.1)". The record is from RNAcentral. Lineage: Eukaryota; Metazoa; Chordata; Mammalia; Perissodactyla; Equidae.
CUCGGAGCUGUCCGGCGUGGCUCCCUCUUCCAGGAUGGGUCCCAUUGAGCGAAGAUGAAAGGGGGUGGGAGAAAUGGGGGCGGGGAGGGGCGCUUGCUUUCCUCGUCCUCCUGCUCACACCGGCUGUUCCCUCAAGGCAAAAGGUCCCUAAUGACUUCCUUGAUUUUCUUGAUAAAACAGGACUUUUAUCCUAGAAGGAUGAGAAUCAGGCGAGGAGAUGCCAAACUUACUGCUCUAUGAUUUCAGAAACAGAGUGUCUCAGGUCUACGUGAGGACAGAGGGCAGAUAGCAUGAUCCUAAUAUCUCCCUGGCAUGCUUUCUUCCAGGUAUUGGUUCGUCCUUACCAUACUAAAACAUUCAUGAGCCGACCCUGUGAUGGGGACACCGCCAGGGCAGACACAGCCCGUUUGCAUGGUAUGGAGCUCACGGUUCAGUGGGGGACAUAGACGCAUCACCAGUGGGAAUGCAAAAUGGUACAGCCACUUUGGAAGACAAUCUGAAAAGGCAACUACACGGCAUCCUGGAAAAGGCAAAACUGUAGAGAUCAGUAAAAAGGUGUGUGUCUAGCUCCAUGAUGAAGAAUGCCAGCUUCUCCUGUGGAUGCUCAUACCAUCAAGAAUGUGAAAUCCAUGAGGGUAGCAUUUUGUCCUCACAACAACAGAUGCACAAUAAAAAUUUGCUAAUUGAAAGAAGAAGUGAAGGAACAACUCGCAGCCCUGUCUGAUGCUCAUUCCAGCUUCAGGACAUUUCUUCUUGCUGUUCCCACUCUGUGGGAACUCUUGGAACAGCUGUCAUAUUUUGGCUUCCGUGUCUCAGCUUGAAGAACAUCGAUGAAUGGUCUUCUGUGGCACAACCAGCUAGGUGUCUGUUGACUGCCUGUCUGGGACUACAUUUCCCAGGGGCCCUUGCAUUCACUUGAGGCCAUGAGACUAGUUCUGUUCAAUGGUUUGAGAGCAGAAGUGAUGUAUGUCACUUUAGGGCCAAAGCUUUAUUUAAAAAAAAUUUUCCCCUGCUUUAUUGAGAUAUAAUUGAUAAAUAAUACUGUAAUAUAUUUAUAGUGUACAACAUGGUGAUCUGGUAUAUGUAUACAUUGUGAACUUAUUACCACCAUCAAGUUAAUGAACAGAUCCAUCACCUCACAUAGUUACCUUUGUUUGGUGAGAAUGCUUAAGAUCUAGUCUCAGCAAAUUUUAAGUACACAAUACAGUAUUGUUAACCACA